RNAcentral lists this ribosomal RNA (246 nucleotides) under uncultured bacterium. Its description in RNAcentral is "partial 16S ribosomal RNA". It matches the Rfam family "Bacterial small subunit ribosomal RNA", at positions 90 to 339 of the family's 1533-position model. The record is from RNAcentral.
GACGAGUGGCGGACGGGUGCGUAACGCGUAGGAAUCUGCCUAUUAGUGGGGGACAACAUGGUGAAAACCAUGCUAAUACCGCAUACGCCCUACGGGGGAAAGCGGGGGAUCUUCGGACCUCGCACUAUUGGAGUAGCCUGCGUUGGAUUAGCUUGUUGGUGGGGUAAAGGCCUACCAAGGCGACGAUCCAUAGCUGGUCUGAGAGGACGAUCAGCCACACUGGGACUGAGACACGGCCCAGACUCC